This 23-nucleotide non-coding RNA is filed under the name Arabidopsis thaliana (thale cress). Lineage: Eukaryota; Viridiplantae; Streptophyta; Magnoliopsida; Brassicales; Brassicaceae. The record is from RNAcentral.
AGAACUGCAUGAUUCAUGGGCCA